This is a long non-coding RNA of Acipenser ruthenus (sterlet), 5288 nucleotides long. RefSeq lists it as uncharacterized. The transcript has 10 exons. Lineage: Eukaryota; Metazoa; Chordata; Actinopteri; Acipenseriformes; Acipenseridae. The record is from RefSeq and is a predicted model, not a curated record.
GAGGUUGAUGGUUAACGUUUGACCAGGUCUUGGGAGUGUUUCAACAGCUCUGCACUCAUUCAGGUGCAAGCAACAUAAAACACUCCAAAAACAAGUUUCUAUAAGAAAAGAGAAGUAUCUGAGCAAAUGUGUGUGGGUAUACUUGGCCAAGCGCUGACAUCAUGGAUUUCUGCGACACUGUUCUUUCAAGGAAUCCAACAGAGGAAUCAAUAAAUAAUCAUUAAUUAUGAUUCUCAAUGAUCUUACUUUACUACUAAUUGUUUUUUUUUUUUUUGUACAGUGUUUACAACAACUGACUCCAAUGUAAAGUCAUAUAAACUUGGUGGUGAAACUGAUACUAAAAUAAUGAUUGAAAAUGACGGAUGGUUAUAUCUGAGGGAACCUUUUGACUGGGAAACAAAGAAGGUCCAUAUUAUAACGUAUGUGCUGGUGGUAUUUGCAAAAGACCAAGAUAAUACAAACCUUGAGCAACCAAUCGAGGUUCACGUAUCAGUUGCGGACAUUAAUGACAACCCACCAGUAUGUGAAGUGCCACUGACUGUAUCAGAGGUUCAGGAAACUGAGAAAAUAGGAAAUCACAUUGGAUCUCUGGAAACUUUUGACCUGGAUGAAUCAGACAGUUUAAACUCUGUGCUGAAGUAUCAGAUUUUGGAUCAGGAGCCGAAGCUGUCUUCUACCAUGUUCAUUAUCGAUGAAUACAGCGUAUGAACUCAAUCCCAUACAAGAAGACACACCAGUGGGAACCACUUUACUAACAAUUGGGGCUAUCGAUGAGGAUGAGCCAAAAACUGGCAGCUCCAACAUCCUGUACCACGUUGUAGAAGACGAUCCAGAAGGAACAUUUGUUAUCAGUACAGACGAAGAAACAAACCAAGGACAUGUGAUGAUUAACAAGGUACAGACUGGAAGGGGAUGUCUUUAACUGGUUGAAAAUCAAUUCUGAAACUGGGGAAAUAAUUACAAAUGCAGCUCUGGACAGGGAGAGGACAGACACUUACAAAGUGAGGGUUAUUGCUGUUCAGUCAGGGAGGCGCAGGCGGCGGUGAGGACCAUGGAUCCGGCAGGCAAGGAUGGAGUAUCCCAUGCUGAAAGCUGCCAUCCUCAAGUGCGUGGGUGCGACUCCUGAGGGCUACCGCCUGCAAGUUCAGGGAGGAGAACUUCUCGGCGGAGGAACACCCCAAGGCCAUCGCGCAUCGCUUGCAGGAUUACGCCCGGGGAUGGUUGAACCUGGGAGCUACCACCACUGCCAGGCUGGUGGAGCUGGUCGUAAUUGAGCAGUUCCUGCAGUGCUUGGCUCUGGGACCCCAUGUGUGGGUGCAACGGCAGGCACCCGCCACCCUGGUAGAGCAGUAUCAGGCAGCAGUAUCAGGCAGCAGAACCAACGCUCGCUAAGCUGCCUGGAAACAGAGCUACUCCUGCAUGACCCCCUCUAUUGGCCCCAGGGACGACAAAAGGACUGGGGGGGGGGUAGCCAGGUCUUUGGACGGAGUGUGGCGGUGGGAGCUCCAGGCCCGAGAACUGGGGCAGAGUGGGGUCACCCACAGGCUGCUGUGGUGUUGGACUGGUGUCUCGUGUGGCCACCCUACCAUCGAGCCCCUUUGAUUGCUCCUGUGUCUCAAUCUCCUGCUGAAGCUUCAUGGCGAGAAACCAGUUCACUGAUGUGUGGAACAAGCUGGGAGGUGAGCCACAUCGACUGCGAUUGCCCCGCUAUGGGAUGUGACCUCAUCCGUUCAGGUAAGACAGUUCCAUUCCAUCAGUCACUCCAGCAGACGGGUUUUGUGAUUCCUGUGUCAGUGGAUGAUACACAAACCCAGGCUCUCUUAGAUUCAGGGUGUAGUCAGUCCCUAAUACAGGAGAGCUUAACCCUUUGCGGUACUAUGUCGGACCAGGUCUGACAUUACAAUUUUCCCUUCCCUGUCCGACAUCAUAAAAAAGACGUAAAAAACAGGUCUCUAAUCGUUUUUUCUCCGGGAAAAAGCACAGAACCAUUCAAUGGCCGAGUGAGACUGAUAGAAGCCGAGAGAAGCCGAAAAAAAGGGGCGGAUCUCAGCAAUACACAUUGCCCCGGCACCACAGAUCACACAGACAAAAAUACUUUUAAACAGCGCGUCUAAAGUAAACUGCAUGUGUCUGACGCACCUGAGAUGUGCUGAAUUAAUGGACUGGAAAGAGUUAAUCUCACUGGGGCAUAAGCAAAUAACGGGACAGGUGCAUAUUAAACGGAUUCAUGGGGAUGUGCGCACUUAUCCUAAGAUGUUUGUGAAUUAAAAAAAUUGGUCAGCAGGUGACACGAAUGCAGUUGGGUUUGUGUCCUCAAUUGCCAGUGCCUGUAGUUCUGGGCGGGACUGACCGAGCAGUUUUAAGAUCGGUUGGCUGCUGUGACGGCCCCAUUCUCCGUAUUGGCUAAGAAAGAGGAAGUCAUUGGAGAGAUAUUCCCCUUUCAUGACCCGGACUGCUAUUGCUAUAGAUUUAGACCCUGCAAAACUAAACGGGAAGGCCAAGCCACUAAGAAUGAAGACUGGCAAUGGAGGGAGUCUGGGAAGUUUCAGGUGGGGGAAAUUGGUGAAGAGUCUGGGGGGGAGGCCACGGAGUCAGCGCAGCGGUCUGGCUCUGCUGCCUCCACUCAGGACCGACCUGAUCCAGAGCUGGAAGCCAUGGGAGCUGAUUUUUUAGCUCGUUCCCAUGACUUCCAGCUCGAGCAAGGUAGUGACGAUGUGCUGGGCAGGCUCUUUGACCAAGCAGCUGUGGUUAAUGGUCGGGUGGUCGAGCCCAGACGCACCGCCACAUACCCUCACUUUGAAAUGAAUCGAGACCUUUUGUACCGUGUUGAAAAAUUACCCCAGACGGGGGAAGUGCGUCCCCAGUUGCUCAUUCUUCAGCCCUUUCAGGAGGAUUUGUUGCAGCUUGCUCAUGCUAUUCUACUGUCUGGUCAUUUGGGAAGGGACAAGACCAAAGCGAGGCUCGUGACACGGUUCUAUUGGCUGGGGCUGGAUGGUGACGUCAGGCAUUUUUGCAAACGCUGUGGGGAAUGUCAGAAAGCUAGCCUUAGAGCCGUCCCACAAGCUCCACUGAUGCCAUUUCCCCUAGUGGAAGCUCUGUUUGAGCGUAUUGGAAUAGAUAUAGUGUGACCGCUAGAAAGGAGUGCGGCAGGAUACACCCACCUAUUGGUCAUUUUGGAUUAUGCUACGCUUUAUCCAGAGGCCAUUCCCCUCCAAUCUGCACCUGCUAAGUCUGUUGCCAACAAACUUGUGAAGGUUUUCUCCUGGGUGUGGAUCCCCAAGGAAAUACUGACAGAUCAAGGCACCAACUUUGUCCCGGAUAGUCAGUGGAAAAGGGGUCGGUACAGAUUGCAGAUAAUCUGACACCAACACAGAAAUGUCAGGCUUGGGCGAAGGGACUGAAGGGAGUCAAACACCAUCCUCUCUCUGGAUUCCGGGGUCAGGGGUAUCUGCCAGUACACCUUCGUUAAAUCCAGUGUCGUCAUAAAAUGAGCCAUGCCUAGACGCUCCAGCAACUCAACUAUCCGGGGCAUGGGAUAAGCGUCAAACUUCGAUUUUUCAUUAACUCGAUUGAAGUCAAUGCAAAAUCGAGUUGAUCCACUAAAACAAUCGGACUGUUCCAGUCACUCUGGGACUCCUCUAUUACACCCAGUCUGAGCAUCUCAUCAAUCUUCGCCUUUAUUACCUGCCUUAUUUACGCUCAGGUAUGCGGUACGGCCUCUGGCGAACUGGCUCCCCCGACUCAAUCUCAAUGUGAUGGUAGGCUACUCGAGUCUGCCCCGGGACAGGAGAAAACACAUCAGGAAACUGUUGAUGAAUAUGUACCAGUCUUGAUCAUAGUUUUGUCAAUAGCAAUUUUGUAUAGAUCUGCCAGUUUUCAAACCUGUCACAUUGCCUCUGUGUUGCUUCUGGUGUGUAUGGUCAUGUUGCUGAGAAUGUCUGUCUGUCUGUCUCAUCGCCAAUUUUAAAAAGAUUGCAUUGUGUCUGGUGUGUGGAGACUUUGAGGCUUGUAUUUAGCUCCCUACAGGCUCAGUUCCCCCCUCUCCAGCACCACGACACAGGAUCCUGCAACGGAAGAACAAACAGCACUUGAUCUCCACACUCCCUGGUCAUUCACCACAUACACCCCGAUCUUAGCCCUCCCUACUCUGGUUUGGUCUUCCGACCCGGCCACUGGUACUUUAAAUUAGGUAGGGUAGGACCUCGCGUCUCGGGUGUGUACAGGGAGCUGACUGUCCGUCCCUUGGCUCGUGCCUGUUUGCUCUUCUGAGGCGUCGGUCAUGGAGGGGAAUACAACACCUUGUCAUAAAACAUCAUUAAUACUGGUAAUCUACAUAUUUCUGCCACGUGUCUUUAUUUAAUAACAUUAACAGUCCUCUUUUAAUCAAAAAGCGCCAUUUCAACAGUAGAAUUCAAGAAUAAAUACUUAACUUUACUAUCAGUUUCUAACCAGUCCUUCCAUCGAGCUGCCGUGUCUUUAUCUUUCUGUAUUCCCUUUAAAGUUGCAAACGAUCCUUGUUGUUUACCAUGCAGGUCUGUCUGUGUCCUUGUGAUGGGGUGCAGCCUAUUUUGUGGUGGUUCUGUGUUUUUUUGUAUUGUUUAGAGUGGAUGUGAGUGAGUUUGGGGUGUGGUUCAGUGAGUGUGUGUGAGGAAUGUGUGGAAUGUGCCUGGGCUAAUGAGGUGUGAAUUGCCCAAUUAGCCCAGGCAACUGUAUAAAAGGGAGUGGUUGGGUUUGUUAGGAGGAGAGUGUUUGUUAGGAGGUGAGUGUAACAGAGAGAAGACGUGUGUUAGAGAGAGAGUGAGUGGGUUUUUUGGGGUUUGUUUAAAGCCUGUUUUGUGUUUGUCUUUUUGGUUGGCCAUCGUGCCUUUUUAUUUGUGUUUUGUUAAUUAAAAUAUUUUGGUUUCACUGCACUUUCUGUCUCUGAGUCUUCCCUCUGCUGCUAUCCUGCCACAGGUUGGUGUCAGAAGUGGGAUAGCGCCCCCUGGAGACUCAGAGCGGAAGUGCAGUUUUUUUGUUUUGUUUAAAAAAAAAAGGGAAGAGAGGAUGAGGUGGAGGAAAAUGGAGCUGGCCCAGGAGGAGGCAGAUGACAGCUGGGAGCUAUUUUUAAAAGGGCUCGCGGCAGAGUUGUGCCCCGGCUGUGGGGCAUAUGGACACACAGUGGCCAUCUGCCCCACCCAGUAUGAGGAGGAGGAGCUGCCGCUUCAACAGCCCGAGUGGGAGGCGCCCGAACGUCCACAGCCCGAGUGGGAGGAGCCCGAACGUCCACAGCCCGAGUGGGAGGAGCCCGA